Molecule: ribosomal RNA, 412 nt
Filed under: uncultured bacterium
Lineage: Bacteria
Description: bacterial SSU rRNA
Rfam family: Bacterial small subunit ribosomal RNA
Source: RNAcentral
GGGAAUAUUGGACAAUGGGCGAAAGCCUGAUCCAGCAACGCCGCGUGAGGGAUGACGGCCUUCGGGUUGUAAACCUCUUUCAGUAUCGACGAAGCGCCCUGUCGGGUGGUGACGGUAGAUACAGAAGAAGGACCGGCCAACUACGUGCCAGCAGCCGCGGUAAUACGUAGGGUCCGAGCGUUGUCCGGAAUUAUUGGGCGUAAAGGGCUCGUAGGCGGUUUGUCGCGUCGGGAGUGAAAACCAGGUGCUUAACACCUGGCUUGCUUUCGAUACGGGCAGACUAGAGGUAUGCAGGGGAGAACGGAAUUCCUGGUGUAGCGGUGAAAUGCGCAGAUAUCAGGAGGAACACCGGUGGCGAAGGCGGUUCUCUGGGCAUGACCUGACGCUGAGGAGCGAAAGUGUGGGGAGCAAA